RNAcentral lists this non-coding RNA (148 nucleotides) under Homo sapiens (human). The record is from Rfam by way of RNAcentral. Lineage: Eukaryota; Metazoa; Chordata; Mammalia; Primates; Hominidae.
GCCAGGUGCAGUGGUGUGCACCUGUAGUCCCACCUACUCAGGAGGCUGAGGCGGGAGGAUUGCUUGAGCCCAGGACUUUGAAGCUGCAGUGAGCUGUGAUCACGCCACUGCACUCCAGCCUGGGCAACAAAGUGAGACCCUGUGUUAA